ACGAGUUAGGGCCUCUGGCCCGAACCUCCAACCCUUUGUAUCAAAACCUCGUUGCCUCGGGGAGGGCCCUGCCUCACGGCUGGCCCCCCGAUGGACCACUAAACUCUGCACUCUGUAUGACGUCUGAGUAAAGAUUUUAAAUUAAAUCA
This 149-nucleotide unclassified non-coding RNA is filed under the name soil metagenome. RNAcentral's name for it is "partial internal transcribed spacer 1". The record is from RNAcentral.